UACGGGGGGGGCAAGCGUUGUUCGGAAUUACUGGGCGGAAAGGGCUCGUAGGCGGCCAACUAAGUCAGACGUGAAAUCCCUCGGCUUAACCGGGGAACUGCAUCUGAUACUGGAUGGCUUGAGAUUGGGAGAGGGAUGCGGAAUUCCAGGUGUAGCGGUGAAAUGCGUAGAUAUCUGGAGGAAUACCGGUGGCGAAGGCGGCAUCCUGGACCGACAUUGACGCUGAUGAGCGAAAGCUAGGGGAGCAAACGGG
This 253-nucleotide ribosomal RNA is filed under the name uncultured bacterium. Its description in RNAcentral is "partial 16S ribosomal RNA". It matches the Rfam family "Bacterial small subunit ribosomal RNA", at positions 524 to 776 of the family's 1533-position model. The record is from RNAcentral.